GAUGAACGCUGGUGGCGUGCCUAAUACAUGCAAGUCGAGCGAACAGAUAAGGAGCUUGCUCCUUUGACGUUAGCGGCGGACGGGUGAGUUACACGUGGAUAACCUACCUAUAAGACUGGGAUAACUUCGGGAAACCGGAGCUAAGACCGGAUAACAUAUUGACCCGCAUGGUUCAAUAGUGAAAGGCGGCUUUGCUGUCACUUAUAGAUGGAUCCGCGCCGUAUUAGCUAGUUGGUAAGGUAACGGCUUACCAAGGCAACGAUCCGUAGCCGACCUGAGAGGCGGAUCGGCCACACUGGAGCUUAGACACGGUCCAGGCUCCUACGGGAGGCAGCAGUAGGGUAUCGGCCGCAAUAGGCGAAAGCCUGACGGAGCAACGCCGCGUGAGUGAUGAAGGUCUUCGGAGCGUAAAGCUCGGUUAUCAGGGAAGAACAAAUGUGUAAGGAACUGUGCACAUCUUGACGGUACCUGAUCAGAAAGCCACGGCUAACUACGUG
This 497-nucleotide ribosomal RNA is filed under the name uncultured bacterium. Its description in RNAcentral is "partial 16S ribosomal RNA". It matches the Rfam family "Bacterial small subunit ribosomal RNA", at positions 28 to 507 of the family's 1533-position model. The record is from RNAcentral.